AAUAUCGCAUAUGAUAUACAGUCCAGAAGGUUCUUGCAAAACUACCUCCGGAAAAUUGCAAGAAAAUAUUUUUCCUAAGGUAUGUUAUAGUUUUAUAUGUAUUUUCUUUAGUUUAUGUAUUUUCUUAAGAUAUGGUUACUUUCCGUCCAGCUUGUGGAUUGCCUAUUCCUCUUCAAAUCUUUCAUUUACAUGCCAUGUUUGCCUGAUAAGACACAGGCAGGUAGAAAAUGAUUGUUCUACUUAUAACUUCUCUGCUGUUAGAAAAUCCUGCCUUACUAUAUAUUUAGAAAUACAUGAAAAUUGAUAGAUUUUGGUCUGGAAGAAUUGGCUAUGAUUGUUUCGCAUCAUGAUUUUCUAUCUUCCAAAUUAUGUUGAAGGUGGCGUUCAUGAUCUCUAAUAUGCUUUUAGAGCUUGGAAUUUGUUUAUUUCAAGUAUGCUCACAGUCAUGGUCACGUUAAGGAACUUAUGCAUAGUUAACUUCAAGGAAUUUAUAUUAAUUUACAUUGUUGUAAUGGCAAUUAUCUUUCCUUAUGAAAUGCUGGAAACUCAUUUCAUGGCAAUUCAUGAAUUACCAAGUCACUUACCUUUUCUUGCAAAACUCUAGUGUAUUUUAUACCUCCGGAAAUUGAAAGUAACCAUUUUCUUGCAAAACUACCUCCAGAAAUUGAAAGAAAUUAUUUUUCCUAAAUCACUUACCUUUUUUUUCUUAUAGGGCAUAAUUUGUUUGAAACCAUGAUGCUUUUUUUCUUCCUGCAUUAGUAAAUUGAUGAGUGAUAUACUUUAUUAUCUUAUUCUAUCUUAGCCACCAUGCCCAUCGACUAAUGUAUUAUCUUUGGUUCAUGACGUUCUUAUUGUUGAAUUGAUAUUUUGUCAUCAUUGCAAGUUGCAACACAUGAAAUCUUCCAUUGCAAUUUGCACAGAUUUGUCAAGAAAUGCAGCAAAAAAAAGAUUCUUCCAUGGUUUGUUUGUCAGGUUACGUUUUUUCAUAGUUCUCUUGUUUUGUUGCUUAAUCUUCUAUGUUUUUUGAGACAAGCAAAGAGUUUGUGUUGUGAUUCCACUAUUGAAACUUUAGUAGCAUAGACAUACUCCUUCCCUGCUCGUGCUUGCAAAUUUAUAUGAAUUUGGUAAUAAUUAACUUGGCAGUACUUUUGGAGAUUGCUACUUUUGCAUGAGGAUGAUAAAUUUCUAAUAAUUUGUAGGAAUGGUAACCUCAAAAUUUGGAAAGUGGCAUGCCUUGACAGCUUUUGAAGUACUGAAAGAACUUUUUUUUCUUGGUUGAGCUCCAUUUAAGUUCUCCCUUUCCUUGUUCAGUUAAAAGCAAGACAUUAUUAUAUCUUUUUUGGUGGGCACGUUCAAUGCAUGGGCAAAUGACUUAUGGGGGAUUAAUGAAGCCGACCACACAUUACCAUCUAUUGGCUUUUUGUAAAUGAAUAUAUUUAGUUGCCUUUUUGGGGGGGAAUUCAUGAAGCUAAGUAUUAAUUGAUGACUUAUGUAUAUUUUUUGAUGCUAGUUGUUGGGUUUUUGUAAAAUUUUUAAUCAGAAUAUCGUGUGAUAUAACUUUUGUAAUACAAUGAUCAUAUUUUUGAAUAAUAUAUUUUGUACAAA
Molecule: long non-coding RNA, 1605 nt
Organism: Zingiber officinale
Lineage: Eukaryota; Viridiplantae; Streptophyta; Magnoliopsida; Zingiberales; Zingiberaceae
Exons: 2
Source: RefSeq, a predicted model, not a curated record